UCCAUGGCUGCCUCUCUCCUGGUUGU
This 26-nucleotide non-coding RNA is filed under the name Mus musculus (house mouse). The record is from RNAcentral. Lineage: Eukaryota; Metazoa; Chordata; Mammalia; Rodentia; Muridae.